UACGUAGGAGACGAGCGUUGUCCGGAGUUACUGGGCGUAAAGGGUGCGCAGGUGGCGGCGCGCGUGGGGGGUGAAAUCGCCCGGCUUAACUGGGCGGGGGCCUUCCAGACGGCGUGGCUUGAGCAGCGGAGGGGGACGUGGAAUUCCGGGUGGAGCGGUGAAAUGCGUAGAGAUCCGGAGGAACACCGACGGCGAAGGUAGCGUCCUGGCCGCUUGCUGACACUGAGGCACGAAAGCUGGGGGAGCAAACAGG
This 253-nucleotide ribosomal RNA is filed under the name uncultured bacterium. RNAcentral describes it as "partial 16S ribosomal RNA". It matches the Rfam family "Bacterial small subunit ribosomal RNA", at positions 524 to 776 of the family's 1533-position model. The record is from RNAcentral.